GAAAAGGCAUAGAAGAAGGCCCCGGUGUCCAUCCUUUAUACUGACUCUGAAAAUCGUCUCCAUAAGUGGGCAUUUGUGAAGAUUGGCCUAAUUCUGUGUAUGAGCCGUAUGGAUGGAAUGCAACAGGUGAUGGUAUCUGCAUUACACCAGGGUUUGGCGUAGGCCGUGGAAUCUCCGUCUCCCUUGAUGGCCUGGUAGUGUGGCGACGAUGUCGUGGAGGAUUCCUGGAGGACGAGGGUGCGUCGUCGUGUACAUCAUGUGGAAGCGGUUGGGAAGGUGGCGCCGGCUGUGGAGGUGGUAUUUGGGAAAUGCGAUCGAACAAACGAAGUGCAUGAAACAUUGAAUUGACCGCAUUUCCAAUCUUGUCUACUGUUGGGUGACGAACUU
This 387-nucleotide long non-coding RNA is filed under the name Manihot esculenta (cassava). RNAcentral's name for it is "long non-coding RNA (MESC_LNC000206)". The record is from RNAcentral. Lineage: Eukaryota; Viridiplantae; Streptophyta; Magnoliopsida; Malpighiales; Euphorbiaceae.